UAACGCGUUAAGUCGACCGCCUGGGGAGUACGGCCGCAAGGUUAAAACUCAAAUGAAUUGACGGGGGCCCGCACAAGCGGUGGAGCAUGUGGUUUAAUUCGAUGCAACGCGAAGAACCUUACCUGGUCUUGACAUCCACAGAACUUUCCAGAGAUGGAUUGGUGCCUUCGGGAACUGUGAGACAGGUGCUGCAUGGCUGUCGUCAGCUCGUGUUGUGAAAUGUUGGGUUAAGUCCCGCAACGAGCGCAACCCUUAUCCUUUGUUGCCAGCGGUCCGGCCGGGAACUCAAAGGAGACUGCCAGUGAUAAACUGGAGGAAGGUGGGGAUGACGUCAAGUCAUCAUGGCCCUUACGACCAGGGCUACACACGUGCUACAAUGGCGCAUACAAAGAGAAGCGACCUCGCGAGAGCAAGCGGACCUCAUAAAGUGCGUCGUAGUCCGGAUUGGAGUCUGCAACUCGACUCCAUGAAGUCGGAAUCGCUAGUAAUCGUGGAUCAGAAUGCCACGGUGAAUACGUUCCCGGGCCUUGUACACACCGCCCGUCACACCAUGGGAGUGGGUUGCAAAAGAAGUAGGUAGCUUAACCUUCGGGAGGGCGCUUACCACUUUGUGAUUCAUGACUGGGGUGAAGUCGUAACAAGGUAACCGUAGGGGAACCUGCGGUUGGAUCACCUCCUU
RNAcentral lists this ribosomal RNA (679 nucleotides) under Escherichia coli. Its description in RNAcentral is "bacterial SSU rRNA". It matches the Rfam family "Bacterial small subunit ribosomal RNA", at positions 853 to 1532 of the family's 1533-position model. Lineage: Bacteria; Pseudomonadati; Pseudomonadota; Gammaproteobacteria; Enterobacterales; Enterobacteriaceae. The record is from RNAcentral.